This 468-nucleotide ribosomal RNA is filed under the name uncultured bacterium. Its description in RNAcentral is "partial 16S ribosomal RNA". The stretch from base 49 to 468 matches the Rfam family "Bacterial small subunit ribosomal RNA", at positions 36 to 507 of the family's 1533-position model. The record is from RNAcentral.
GGGGGGGGGGGGGGGGGGGGGGGGGGGGGGGGGGGGGGGGGGGGGGGCCCGGCGGGGGGGGGGGGCUCGAGGGGCGAACGGGGGAGGAACACGUGAGGAACCUGCCCUUGACGUUGGGAUGACUUCAGGGAAGUGGGGCUAAUACCGGAGAGGAGCUCCUGCUGCAUGGUGUGGGUUGGAAAUGUUCGGCGGUUGGGGAUGGACCCGCGGCUUGUCAGCUUGUUGGUGGGGUAGUGGCUUACCAAGGCUUUGACGGGUAGCCGGCCUGAGAGGGUGACCGGCCACAUUGGGACUGAGAUACGGCCCAGACUCCUACGGGAGGCAGCAGUGGGGAAUAUUGCACAAUGGGCGGAAGCCUGAUGCAGCAACGCCGCGUGCGGGAUGACGGCCUUCGGGUUGUAAACCGCUUUCGCCUGUGACGAAGCGUGAGUGACGGUAAUGGGUAAAGAAGCACCGGCUAACUACGUG